This 231-nucleotide unclassified non-coding RNA is filed under the name fungal sp. RNAcentral's name for it is "partial internal transcribed spacer region". The stretch from base 1 to 47 matches the Rfam family "Eukaryotic small subunit ribosomal RNA", at positions 1785 to 1831 of the family's 1831-position model. Lineage: Eukaryota; Fungi. The record is from RNAcentral.
AAAGUCGUAACAAGGUUUCCGUAGGUGAACCUGCGGAAGGAUCAUUACAAGAAACGAGGCUGCGUGCGCUCAUCCGCCCAGCCCCGCUCCUUACCUUGCCUACUGCACCGUUUGUUGCUUCCUGGCGGCAGACUGCCUUCCGCCAGGGACAUUGACAUAACCUUGUAUGAGCAUUGAAGACCUGAAAUACGCGAAAUCGUACAACUUUCAACAAUGGAUCUCUUGGUUCUG